This 246-nucleotide long non-coding RNA is filed under the name Setaria italica (foxtail millet). Its description in RNAcentral is "long non-coding RNA (SITA_LNC005797)". Lineage: Eukaryota; Viridiplantae; Streptophyta; Magnoliopsida; Poales; Poaceae. The record is from RNAcentral.
UGACUCCUGUCAGUGCGUCCACUGAAGCUUACCAUGGCGUCGCUGAGCUCUUCACUACUCCGGAAUAGGGGAUACUCCUCCAACCUCCUCUCGCACCUGAGAAGUGAGGCAGGCACUUCAAGAAGCCAGUCGUUGAAGCCUUCAGCCUGCACAGCAGCAAGCGGCAGGCAUGCAGUAGGCUCAAGCACCUUCCCGCAGAAUAGAAGGCUAACCAUGUCGUCUAUCAGCGUCUCGGCUACAUCAAAG